GACGAACGCUGGCGGCGCGCCUAACACAUGCAAGUCGAACGGAGUUAUUUUCUUUACUCCGAGUUCUUUGCACGCUUCCGGUAAGCGGCAAUUCCUUUUGCGAAGAAAAAUGAAUUUAGGCUUAUUUAGUAAGACGGACACGGAAGGCAGAGGAUUGGGAGUAAAGAAAAUAACUUAGUGGCGAACGGGUGAGUAACGCGUGAGUAACCUGCCCUGGAGUGGGGGACAACAGUUGGAAACGACUGCUAAUACCGCAUAAGACCACAGCCUCGCAUGGGGCAGGGGAAAGAUUAUUGCUUUGAGAUGAGCUCGCGUCCAAUUAGCUAGUUGGUGAGGUAACGGCCCACCAAGGCGACGAUUGGUAGCCGGACUGAGAGGUUGAACGGCCACAUUGGGACUGAGAUACGGCCCAGACUCCUACGGGAGGCAGCAGUGGGAAUAUUGCACAAUGGGGGGAACCCUGGAUGCAGCGACGCCGCGUGGAGGAAGAAGGGUCUUCGGAUUGUAAACUCCUGUUGUUAGGACGAUAA
This 530-nucleotide ribosomal RNA is filed under the name uncultured bacterium. Its description in RNAcentral is "bacterial SSU rRNA". It matches the Rfam family "Bacterial small subunit ribosomal RNA", at positions 28 to 451 of the family's 1533-position model. The record is from RNAcentral.